UGGUGAGCAGGGUGCCAUUGGGGGCCCUCAGGACCACCUGACUCCAAACCACAGGACUGGUCCACGGUAGGUCAGGGAGCUGUGGGUGGGGCAGAGUGGUUGAGAGAGGACAUCUCCCCUUUUACAUCAGCUUUUUUUUAACCUUCCUUUGUCUUGAAGGUCCGGCUGCUUGUCUCACCAUUCCUGUCUCCCCUGAUCCCCCAUGGAGACAGAUUCCUUAAAGCUUCAGGGGUGCCUGGGUGGCUCAGUUGGUUAAACGUUUGACUCUUGAUCUCAGCUCAGGUCAUGAUCUCACAGUUCAUGAGUUCAAGCCCCGCAUUGGGCUUUGCGCUGACAGUGCGGAGCCUGCUUGGGAUUCCGUCUCUCCCUCUCUCUGCCCCUUCCCCACUUGCUCUCUCUCUCUCUCUCUCUCUCUCUCAAAAUAAAUAGACUUAAAAAAAAAAACAACUUCAUUUAGAAACCUUUGAGUCACCUGCCUUGACGCCAUUAAUCUUCCCUCUCUGCCCUCGCUCUCUAAACUUCCUCCACAAUACAAGUGAGUGUCUAAGGCUUCGUUUGCACAGAGAUGUUAGAAAAAUGUGUAUUUUUUUAACUUAAUAGGGAAAAUGACGUAUGAGACCUUCCAUUUGAAUCAAGAAACUGAGAGAGGCACUGUGGUUUAUGUAGGGACAAUUCCUUUGGAAGAUCCAGGCAGAAGUCAGACUGGUUUAUGAUGAAAAAGCACAAUACUAAUGUAUUCCUAGCACUUCAGGGAAAUUCAGGGAACCUCCUUCCCCCAGUCUAUCGUCUACAGAACAUAUCCCAUCAGGAGGACUAAGGUAAGGACAGUAAGGAUGGGAAAUGAGAGUUUAUGGUGUCGAUCAAGGUAGAGAAAGUGCUGCAGUUGAAUGCAGUAAUACUUUCCUUUCUCUUGGAAAGGACCUGUGCAAGAGAGGGAGGCUUGGGUCUUUCAGGGGAUUGAUGUUUAUUUCCUUCAAGAAAUACUGAGUGUUUCUUGUGUUCCAGGCAUGAUAUUAGAUAUGGAAGAUACAAGGAUGGGCAAACAGAUGUGGUUCCCGUUUUCAUGGAGCUAUCAUCAAGAGGGGUAACACUAGUAACCAAUUAAUCAUUAAAUAAAUGUGCAAAGGAAGUGGUGACGAGUGCUGGUAAGGAGAGAUCUCCAUGGGGCUAGGAGAGGCAAUAUGAGAAAGGAUUUGACCUCGUCUAAAGGGUCAUAAAAAGCUGUCCUAAAAAAGUGAUGACUGGGUUGAGGCCUGAAUGAUGAGCAAGAAUUAAGUCGAUAAAGAAGGAAGGGGAGGGAAUGAGCUGGGGGCCCUGUGGGGACCUGGUGAAGCACAAGGAGUAAGGACUCUGCAUUGGAUCAGGGAGAGUGAAGGGGAGAGGGGCUGAGGUUGGAGAGAUUCCAGGGCACAGAUCAGGGAGGACCUUGCUUGUAGACCACGUCAAGGAUUCUAAUGUUUAUCAGACAAGCAAUGGGAAGCCAUUGAAUAGUUUUAAUUGGUGAUAGCGGUCAUGAUAGUGGUGGGGGAUGUGUUCAGCUUUGUGUUGGAAAAGAUUGUUCUGGUUGCCGUGUGACUGGGUGGGGAGAGGGUAGAUUCAACGUAGAAAGAGCAGGCAGAGGGUCUUGUAGCAUCCCAGGCAAGGAAUGAUUGGGCUAAGCUGGUGGCAGUGAUGGAAAGAGACAUUGAAGAGGGAAGAUCAACAGGGCAUGGUGUGUGUGGUCCCCUUAUCACCUUCAAGCUUCCUCAAGGGUAAAUCUGACAGGAGCCCAAAGGAGCAUGCCCGUUGGUGCACGAGAGAGCACGUCAAAGCUAAAUUACAUUGAUCUGAAGCACAGAUCUUUCGAGCACUGGUGCAAGAUCCCAAGGAGCAUUUUCCAGCCCUCCUGCCUCUUCAGCAUGAGCAGGCACCGAAAAUGAAGUGUGAGGGAAGGAAGCAGGCACCCAGGUUAUUUUUAGCAAGCUAUAGGAAAUAGCCAACAUUCUAAUUUGAAUUCUUCUCAUUAAAACCCAGAGCCUAACCCCACACAGUUCUUGUUUCUAAUGUCGGCAAACUUCUCUUUUUCCAGAUAAUUGACAAUAGGCCCCCACGGAAGUCUUCUCAGCAUUUCUGCAAAAAUUUAGCAAACAUUAGGUUUGACACCAUCACCAUGUUUGCCAAGACAGCAAAAAUCCCAGCCGGCAAAACUUCGAGCGUGAUGAAGUGGAACAGAGAGGACAGCGCGGAAUGAGUGAUCAUUUCAGGAAAUCUUCUAGCAAGAGUUUCCAGUGUUGGGAUUUCGCAUCGUCUUUGCAGGAAGAGCGGUACGGAAGGUCCACUCUGGGGCCAGGCUGCGGUGAUGUAGGUGGGUUUGCUCCUCUUUCUUUCCCACCUUCCCUCCCUAUCCUCGAGUCGUUCCCGGAAUUAAAAUUAUGUUUUAAUAUUUUCAUUUGAUAACAACAGAAACGUUUUUUAUUCGACAAGUUUACCUGGUAUAGUCAGCGUCUGAAUGAUGGCUGAGCUGGUCUUUAGAUUGGUGUGGCAGGCCUUCCACCUGCUUGACCUGGGACGUGUUAUUUAGCUUCUUUGGGUCUGGAUUUCCCCACAUGAGACGUGAAGAGGUGUUAUACUAGCUCAGCACUUCCCCAGCCUCAGUCAUUCGGGUGUCGCCUUCAUAAUAUUCUCCAUGUUGUUUUUUUUUUUAACAUUUUUUCUUCUAAAUUGAUUCAUUUGUUUACUUAAGUCUUUUUUUUAAAACAACAACAACAAAGUCUUGGCAAUAAUAUAUGUGAAAUCGUGGAACUAAAGUGAUGAUAACCUUUUUUCUAAUACACAUAAAUAAGCACAUAUUUAAAAUAAAAUGGGGUUUUUUUUUGCAUAUAUCUAUGUGAAAUCAACCUACACUCCUCCAUGAUGAUAUAUGUAGACCCCGCUCUAGGAAACUCUAGACAAGCCAGAUUCUAAGCUCUCGUGCAGUGCUAACAUACUGUUGUUCACAUCUGGCCUUACCUACCCCGCCUGGUUUCCCAUAGCUUCCUAAAAUAAAACCCUAAGCAUGGCCAAAUCAAUGUCCCUGUUACUCCUUGUAGACAGUAUGUGCAAGCUAUUCCCUUCAUCUAGAAUCAAUAAUUUACUAAGGAAAGAGAAACCAUGACCUAAGUAAGAAAGAGCAAAUUGGGGAAGUACAUGAUGGGGUCAAAAGCUACCCUUGACCAGUAAGCCAAGAAAAUCCUUAGAGUUGGUUGGCAGUUGGUGGGUGAAGGUCAAGAGUAAAAAGUUGAGGGUUUGGUCCUUUAUGGGCUAUUUGUUUUCCUUGAAGAAGAGGUUUACCCACUUACAGGACAAAUUUACUGGACAAAGUUUUUUUUAAAUGUUUAUUUCUGAGGGGGGUGGGAAGGAGAGAAAAAGAGGGAAUGAGGGGAGAGGAGCAGAGCGAAAGGGAGACAGAGUAUCUGAAGUGGGCUCUACACUGACAGCAGAGAGCCUAACAUGGGGCUCAAACUCACAAACUGUGAGAUCAUGACCUGAGUUGAAGUCAGACCCUUAAUGGGCUGAGCCACCCAGGCGCCCCUGGACAAAGUUUUGAGUGCUCCCUGAAGGUCUUCAACCUUAUCUAACAUACAAAAGAAGAUCUACUUGGGGAGUAAUCAUUAUUUGAUACAGAAAUGUAUUAAUUCACUUAUUUAUAAUGCAUUUUGUGUUAAAAAAAUGCAUGAUGUGUUUCCUCCAUGCUAGGCAUUGAACAUACAAAGGCUAUUAAGAUAUUUCUCUAUCCUCUAGGAGCUCAGGUUUUGCUGGAGACGGAACAUGAAUGGGUGGGCCUGGUAAGGCAUUGCGGACCUCCAAAGUAUAUCCAGGGUACAAUGUGCCUCAGGACGGGUAGUGUCAGUUCUGUUGGAUCAGGCAGAACUUCCUAAGGGAUGUAACUUGAUUUCUAAGCCAGCGUUGGUUGGGGGGGUGGCCCAGUGGGGAUGGAAUGCCCUCCCAGGGACUAUAAACAGUUAUAAGAUUUUCUGGCAUAUUCAGAAAACGGAAUGCAAUUUAGUAGGGGUGGAACCUACAGUUGCCUGUGUGUGUGUGUGUGUGUGUGUGUGUGUGUGUGUAAGAGAGAGAGAAAGAGAAACAGAGUGGUUGACUCCAGCGGUCGUACUUCUCUAUUCAAGAAGGAACUGUUAGAGACUUCAAUGCAAGUGGGAGCUAUGUCCAGAGCUGCAUGCUGGAAUCUCACUCAGGUGCUCACAUGGUGGAUAAUUGGAUAGGGACAAGUUCCCAAGCCAUAGGCAGAGACCCAUUAAAACACUAUUCUAAGGGUCCGGGAGAAAGAUGAUGAGGGCAGCAGUGGUGAGAGAGAGAGAGUAGGGACAGCUUUGAGAGUCAGUGUGAAGGAUGGGCUGAUGAGAACGGGAGAUGCCUAGGAAGGGGUCAAGGUUGCCAGCUUGCUGAUUGGCUAGUGGUGCCAUUCUCACCGUGGGGACCCAGCAGGAAAGAAGCAAUCUGGGGAAAUAUGUAUUUCUUUUGGAACUGGACCCCUCGGGGCCUGCAUGGCAAAGUGAUUGGGUAUGGAGCCCUGACACCUCAGUUAUUUUCCUAGCUCUGUUCCUAUGACCCUGUUUCGACUUCUCACCAUUUCUGGUGUCUGUCCCUAAGACGUAUGGCCCGCUCUGGCUUGAUUUCAGGUCUUGAGGAAAAGAAAAGAAAAAAAAAAAUAUGUGAAAGCGCUUCCUAAAUGUCUUCACAAAUGUAAAUAUUUCUGUCUCCAAGGAAGCGCAAGGUGUAAAAAGCAGAGUCAUCAGCACAUUUAGCUCAUAAAUGGGCAGAGUAUGUGACUCCUUUGCAUCAUGACAGAGCACACAGCAGAGACGUCUCUACAGAAUUGACAACAUUACUGCUUACCCUUUGGCCAAGAUGGCCUAGUUUCUAUGAGACGAAAGGUAUCACUUUGCUUUGCAACGUGCCAAUUCACCGGACACUACAUCUCUUCGUUUUUUUCCUAAAUCUUAUGAAGUCAUUUUUCCAUUCCCACUUGCUAGGUUGGGCAAAACAUCCAUCGUCAGCCAUAAUGAGGAUUCCUGUUGGAUCACAUACAAAGCCUGUUUUUCACGAGUGAGAUUUAAGACAUGUAUGUCCACUCACGAGUGGAGUGAGCGACGUUUACACAGCAUUGGUUUGCAACCGUCUUGGGAGCUUUCCUGGUAAAAUCUGAAACUGGCCUCUGUACUCAGAAGGGAGGGAGAGACCAAAGAAAGAGGCAGGCCAUCACGGGUAGGUGGGUGGCAAUCUCAAUAACAGCGACGGAAGCUUACAUGUGAGACAAAUGGAUCCCUGCACCUGCCCACCCAAUCUUAAAAUGUUAUAAAGGGGCCUUCACUGGGUUCAGUCACAUAUACUGGGCAGGUGUUCUCAAUACCAUAUCACUAUCUUAAGGCUACGUCCUUGAAGUAGCCUCUGGGAGUGGGAAAGGCAAGCAGGAUGCAUAUUCCCAGGACAGAGGAAGGAGUGAGGAGCCUCCAAUUGGCGGUCAUGUCCUUCCGAUGACGUUCCCAACACACAGGUAACUAACCAUCCUUGCAUGAACAGGGUAACCUAAUUGUCCUAGGUUUAGGAAACCCCAUCACUAACCUGCUAGUUCAGACCAAGGGCUUUGCAAUCUGUCGCCCCUAGGGCUGAGGAGGCUGAGGUGCUGAUUGAUCUGUGCUGGUGGUUAACAUGCCCAAGACAGCUCAGCAGCAUUAUCAUCCAGACCAAAAGAAAUUUGGGAAUUACCUUUAAUUACUGUUGUGGUCCCAGUUUGCUGUGCGGUAAGCAUGCUUCUUAUAAAUAAGGAAAGUUGAGAUAUCAACAGUGUGGCGAAGGUCGGUAUGGAAGACAAACCUCAGCACGGAACCACUGAGGGUGGGGGCUGGUGAGGAGGGCUGAUGGUUGAGUGUGCACGAUGCAGCUGAGGUCUACUGCAGAGAAAGGGGGGACAUGAAGACUUCCUCAGGCAAGGAGGUCAGAAUGGAGAGAAAUAGGAAUAAGAAGGCAUUUUGAGUUAAUUGAAAAGAACUCCGAGAUAUUUCUUAUAAAUCGUUCUCAUGAAUGGAGAAAAGAUCAACUUGGGGCAACCACUCUUAGAAUAGCGUUUCUGGUCAGGGUAUUUUAAAUGUUAACUCACCUCCCGGGAGGAGAGAAAAGCCGCCUCUUAGAGCGAUAUCCCACUGGUGGUGUGUGAGAGGAUGGCUGGACUUAAACAUCUGAAUACUCUUCUAUUUUAAUAGUUGCGUGUUUAUUUGAUGACUCUCAUUAUCUUUGGCAAGUCAUUAUACUUUUCUAUUUGAGGCAGUGGCACAACACUUUCUGUUAAAAUAAAUUUGAGGGAGGAGGGGCACCUGGGUGGCUCAGUCGGUUAAGCGUCUGACUCUUGAUCUCAGCUUAGGUCUUGAUCUCACAGUCGUGAGGUCAGGUCCUGUGUUGGGCUCCACUCUGGGCAUGGAGCCUACUUACAAAAUAACAUAAAAUAAAAUACAUUUGAGGGGGAAAAGUGAACUGAUUUAAGGAAAAAUUAUUUAUUAAAAGAAACAGGAGAGAGAGUAUGGAAAAAAUAGAAAGGCAGUAUUAGAAUGACCAAAACUUGGGAGAACAUCAAAAGUUGUGCUCCAUUUGGGUGGAGAAGCAGAAAAGAAAGGAAAUAAUUACCUAGUUUGUAAUGGCCCAUGGGUAAUUUUGCAACCAGUUUACCUCAUCACAUGGGCUUUUUUCUCAUGAAGAUUAUUCUCUGAAAAUGCAAAAAAAUCCAAGGAGAGAGUCAUAUCUUAACAUAUGAUAAACAGGGUUUUUUCUUAAGUUUAUUUAUUUUUGAGAGAGAGACAGAGCACAAGGGGAGGGUCAGAGAGAGAGGGAGACACAGAAUCCGAAGCAGGCCCCAGGGUCAGAGCUGUCAGCACAGAGCCCGACGUGGGGCUCAAACUCACGAACUGCGAGAUCAUACCUGAGCCGAAGUCGGACGCUUAACCGACUGAGCCACCCAGGCGCCCUGGUAAGCAGGGUUUUUUUUUAAUGAUGUGGCUACACUUGGACCUGGACACGUCUGGAAGGGGGAAGGAGAUUCCCCCUGCAGUGGGGCUGCAGGGGGAGGUUAGGGGGAGCCCACCCCAAGACAGUUCACCAGCCUUACGAUUUCAUCCAACUCUUGAGUAGAGAGCGUCCUUGGGUGGUAACAGUGCAGUGACAGACAAGUGGGUUGAAUUAAAAGGUUCUGAAGGUUUAAUUUUAAUGUGAUGAUGAGGGUAGUGUAUGUAUGUAGGCCCCGCAGCUCCUAGAACAGUGCUCUGCACAUACACGUUAAGUAGCUGCUAAAUGGGAGCAUAAUUGCACAAUAUUUUACAUUGGCUUGCAAAAGAGGAGAAAGUGGUCAGGUUGGAAGUGAUAGAUAACUGAGUUCAUAUCGCAUUUCUGCCCUUUACAUGCUGUGUAGCCUUGGGUAAAUUACUUAACCUUUCUGAAUCUCGUCUAUCAAAUGGAGCUAAUCAGUGGUGCACUGUACAUGUUCUACAACUGGCUCACCAGGAAAAAGGAAAGCUCUGCUUUGUAGCACUUGCUGAUUUCCGUAGUGUCAAUAUUCACCAUCAAGCUAACAACCAUUUCACAGCUAGCUGGCAAAAUUCCUGCCAAUCUACAAAUCAGUUCUCAGAAACCCCCAGAUACAGUUCACCACUGGAGGUCACGAUUCCAACCUCACACGGGUGCCAGUCAUUCUUGGAGCACUUACUACCUGCUAAUAAGCACUGCACUUGGGUGGUCUCAUCUAGUUUUUCUUCAAUGUUUGUUUAUUUUUGAGAGACAGAGAGAGACAGAGCGUGAGCAGGGGAGGGGCAGAGAGAGAGGGAGACACAGAAUCCAANNNNNNNNNNNNNNNNNNNNNNNNNNNNNNNNNNNNNNNNNNNNNNNNNNNNNNNNNNNNNNNNNNNNNNNNNNNNNNNNNNNNNNNNNNNNNNNNNNNNNNNNNNNNNNNNNNNNNNNNNNNNNNNNNNNNNNNNNNNNNNNNNNNNNNNNNNNNNNNNNNNNNNNNNNNNNNNNNNNNNNNNNNNNNNNNNNNNNNNNNNNNNNNNNNNNNNNNNNNNNNNNNNNNNNNNNNNNNNNNNNNNNNNNNNNNNNNNNNNNNNNNNNNNNNNNNNNNNNNNNNNNNNNNNNNNNNNNNNNNNNNNNNNNNNUUGGAUUCUGUGUCUCCCUCUCUCUCUGCCCCUCCCCUGCUCACGCUCUGUGUCUCUCUCUCUCAAAAAUAAACAUUUAAAAAAAUUAAUAAAAACUAAUGAUUUCAAAAGUAGAAUUUAGUGACUCAUCACUUACAUAUGACACCCAGUGCUCAUCCCAACAAGUGCUCUCCUUAAUGUCCAUCACCCAUUUAGCCCAUCCCCCAACCCAAGACCCCUCCAGCAACCCUCAGUUUGUUCUCUGUAUUUAAGAAUCUCUUACGGUUUUCCUCCUUCUCUCUCUUUAUCUUGUUUUUCCUUCCCUUCCCCUAUGUUCAUCUGUUUUGUUUCUUAAAUUCCACAUCUGAGUGAAAUCAUUCGAUAUUUUUCUUUCUCUGACUUAUUUCACUUAGCAUAAUCUCUAAGUUCCAACCACAUUGUUGCAUAUGGCAAGAUUUCAUUCUUUCUAAUUGCUGAGUAAUAUUCCAUUGUAUGUAUAUACCACAACUUCUUUAUUCAUUUGUCAGUCAAUGGACAUUUGGGCUCUUUCCAUAAUUUGGGUAUUGUUGAUCGUUCUGCUAUAAACAUUGGGGUGCAUGUUACCCUUUGAAUCAGCAUUUUUGUAUCCUUUGGAUAAAUACCUAGUAGUGCAAUUGCUGGGUUAUAGGAUAGCUCUAUUUUUAAUUUUUUGAGGAAACUCCAUACUGUUUUGUAAAGUGGCUGCACCAGUUUGCAUUCCCACCAGUAGUGUAAGAGGGUUGCCCUUUCUCUGCAACCUUACCAACACCUGUCGUUUCCUCAGUUGUUAAUUUUAGCCAUUUUGACAGGUGUUAGGUAGUAUCUCAUAUUGGUUUUGAUUUGUACUUCCCUGAUGAUGAGUGAUGUUGAGCAUCUUUUCAUGUCUUUUGCUCAUUUCUUCAUGGGAUUAUUUGUUUUUUGGGUGUUGAGUUGGUAAGUUCCUUUUUUUAAAAAAAAUUUUUAAUGUUUAUUUAUUCUUGAGAGAGAGACAUACAGAGACAGAGUGUGACUGGGGAAGGGUCAGAGAGAGAGGGAGUCACAGAAUCUGAAACAGGUUCCAGGCUCUAAGCUGUCAGCACAGAGCCUGAUGUGGCCUGUGAGGUCAUGACCUGAGCCAAAGUCAGAUGCUUAACUGACUGAGCCACCCAGGUGCCCCAACUUUGAUAAGUUAUUUAUAGAUUUUGGAUACUAACCCUUUAUCUGAUAUGUCAUUUGCAAAUAUCUUCUCCCAUUCUGUCAGUUGCCUUUUAGUUUUGUUGCUUGUUUCCUUCACUGUGCAGAAGCUUUUUAUCUCAAUGAGGUCUCAAUAGUUCAUUUUUUGCUUUUGUUUCCCUUGUCUCUGGAGGCAUGUCUAGCAGGAAUUUGCUGCAACAGAGGUCAAAGAGGUUGUUGCCUGUUUUCUCCUCUAGGAUUUUGAUGGCUUCCUGUCUUACAUUUAGGUCUGUCAUCCAUUUUGAGUUUAUUUUUGUGUAUGGUGUAAGAAAGCGGUCCAGGUUCAUUCUUCUGCACGUCGCUGUCCAGUUUUCCCAGCACCACUUGCUGAAGAGACUGUCUUUAUUCCAUUGGAUAUUCUUUCCUGCUUUGUCAAAGAUUAGUUGGCGAUACGUUUGUGGGUCCAUUUCUGGGUUCUCUAUUCUUUUUUUUAAUUUAUUUUAAUGUUUUUAUUUAUUUUUGAGAGAGAAAGAGAGAGAGCACAAGUGGGAGAGAGGCAGAGAGAGAGGGAGACACAGAAUCCGAAACAGACUCCAGGCUCUGAGCUGUCGGCACAGAGCCUGAUGUGGGGCUUGAACUCAUGAACCAUGAGAUCAUGACCUGAGCCGAAAUUGGACACUUAACGGACUGAGCCACCCAGGUGCCCCUCUGGGUUCUCUAUUCUGUUCCAUUUGUCUUUGUGUCUGUUCUGACGGUGCAGAGCCUGAUGUGGGGCUCAAUCCCAUGAACUGCAAGGUCAUGACCUGAGCCGAAAUCAAGAGUUGGAUGCUCACCUGACUGAGCCAGCCAGGUGUCCUCCAGAAAGAGAGCUUUGUAGUGAUUUACCAGCAAAGCGAGAGCUUCUUCCUUCCCUGCUCUCUCUGCUGUUGGCCUAUCACACAAUGAACAACACAGAUGUUUCUAAGAAUUUGAUAUCCAGCUAUUCGUUAAAUGUAUAAUAUUUGGAACUAAACUGAUCCAUUACUAUACAUUUUGUGCUAGAAGAGUAUGAAAUUCUUCCUUCAGAGAACUUGGGUUGGAGGAAGUUGGGCUGGGGGAUUUGGCUAAGUAGACAGGGCCUCCUACCCAGAUGUCAUUCUCCUCCUAUAUCUGCCUUUCUGGCAGAGCCAGCUGCAUGAGAUGCUGGAAGCCACCACCAGGAACUUUCUUACAGGGAAGGUGGUCAUGUAAUCUACCCGGUUCUGGCCAAUGAGACUUAAGGAAGCGUGGUCAGAGGCUUCAGCAAUUUUCUUUGUUGAACAAAGCAGAGACAUGGGGAAAAAAAGUUCCAUGUCUCCCUACCUGCUUUUUGACAUUACUCUCCGGGGAUGACAGAUUUUGGGUCUAAUUAGAUGGAUGGCCUGGAAGUAUCUACCUACUUAUUUCCUGUUAGGUAAAGAUAAAGAAAUAGCCUUACUGGUUAGAGCCUGUUACCUAUGCAUGAUGUGAUUUGCAGCCCCAAACAUCCUAUACCAAUAAUUAAAAUGGAUUUUCAAGUUUACCUGCUUGAAUUGAACUAUUAGAACGUGUGGUUACCAAAACACCACUGUGUCGGUGAGAAAGCUUUCUGCGGCAAGUAAUUCCAAGUCCUGACUCCUGCUGGCUCAGCAGAGGGAGGUUUAUUACCUUGUGUAACAGGGAUAACAGAGUGGGGCAGGCCCCCCGGUGGUACACAUACCCUGGCUGUCCUUCUCUGAGUCUCUCCCGUCCCAUUCUCCUUGUGGGUGGGUUUGGUCCUCAGGCCAGUUGACUGCCAAGUUUUAGGCCCAGGGGAAGAAGGGGGAUUGUCUAUUCCUGUGUUUCUUCGGAGAAACGAGGAGAGGUUCUUUGUCAGCCAUGAUCCAUAUUUAUCCUUUCCUAAGUCAGUCGUUGGCAAUGGGAGUUGGGUUCCUACAAUCCUUCGGGACUACCUUCAAUGGGCUAGGGGGUGGAGGGGAAGAAUGUAAGAAAACCCACACAAGGACCAACUCCACUUUUCUUAUCUUUUUGCUUCUUGGAGAUUUUUCAUGGGCUCUGGUGAGCUUGUUUUCCACUCUGGGAACCCUAACUGAUCAUAUUUUUUUUUUUUUUCUCUUCUAGCUUGGCUUUGAGCCUUCACUCACUCAGUUGCCUCCUAGCUGACAAGGGUUUCUUUCCUUUUACCAGUUGGUUUCUCUUAAAAGAAUCAAUUCUUUUUGUUUCUGGGUCCCUAAGGCCCCGAUUAUAAAACAGGUGUUGUAUUUUAAAACACAAUGUGAUACCAAUGUCUUCACAGGAAAAAAAAAAGAAUCUAGACAUACGCGCUAGUGUUUUUAGAGUUAAAAAUGUUUCACUUGCAUUUGUUCUGCUUGAACAUAUCUUUACGCUCACAAAGAAAACAGGUACCACGCCUUUAAGAGUAGCUCCCUGUCAGAUUUUAAAAUUGAUACAAAGUUACUUGAGGAAUAAGAGCAAUAAAACGUGAAGCGACUUUUAUCUGACGACAACGUGGGGAUUCAACUUGGAGGAGAUAAGUUAGUAGAGGAGAGAAAUGUGAGGUUUACACCCUUUCCUCAUUUGAUGGAAGAAGCCCUGGUCUUCUAUUACCCCUCACGGCACCUUCACUUGUAUUCAUGUGUAUCGGAUUAACCACCAAAGACUUGUUUUGUACCUGGUUUCUGCUGCUUUUAGUCAGAGAGAUACCUGUGAAUCCCUUGUGUGAAUUGUGAGCCAGCUGUAGCUGUUUCGGCCAUUGUUAUGAGACUACCCAGAACCCCAUUCCUCCCUUCAUCCACCCUAAUAGGACCUGUGUCCACCCUCCCGUAUAGCCUGUGCUACUGGGAGAAUCUGAUGCCACUCUUGACUUUCAGGUGGGAUUGAAGCAGUCAGCACGUCUGCCAUCAUUGGUUCAGGGGCAGACAUGUGAUGGGCAGAGUCCAAUCAGGGUGAAUCUCAAGAUUUGGUUGCUUAGAAUGUCACAGCAGGCACAUUCUGUCUCCUUCUGCGGUGUGUGGGUGUGUGUUCAGUGCUGCUCACACCAUGGAAGGUCAAGCAGAGACACUGAAAACAAAACAAAACAAAAGCAGAUGGAAAGAAACUGAAUCAAGCCAGGCCUGAGGCCUGACCCGGCUCUGGACCUUCCAGUGACAUGGGCCAAGAAAUCUUUCUUGUUGAUUGAGUUUUCCAUUAGCCACUUAAAGGGCCCUGCAGAUGGAAGAAGCUGCCCUCAAGAAAUUUCUGGUAAAUAGGCCUCUGAGUUUUCCUCAAGGCAAACAAGUUUUAUUGCUCAAGAAAGGAGGGGGAAACGAAUCCUUUGUGUUUUGAGCACUGGGAAGAAAAUUAGCCUGAUUUCAAGUGUAUUGCCGCAGGCCUGGGAGACAGCCAUGUUGUAGGAAUUCUCCGGAGGCUGAGCCUAUAACAGCACUCCAACCGGUCUUAAGGGUUAACUUGCUUCAAGCUUACCCGCUCUGGCUUUCUGACCUUACUCCCUUGAUCUGUAGCAGAACUAACUGACUUUCUUUGAGAUUUGCAGGCCACUGGCCUUGAGGCGUGAAGGACUCAACUCUCCCAGAAGAUAAAGCCUGACUACAACUCAAAAACAGCUGCCGCUGAUGCGGGCAAGUCUGUUCCGGGUCAUGGGUCAUGGCGACGUACGACUGACCACCUGGGCACCCGCUUCUCUUGCAUGUAGCCCCCCCUCCCUGUUCCCACGCCUUCAUCUUUAAAGCCCUCUGGUUUCCCCCCAGGAUGAGGAAGAGGGUCUUUGAGGCAUUCGCCCGCCAUCUUCCUAGGUUGCCAGCUUCCUGCAUAAAGCAAACUUUCCUUUCCCACCACCACUUGUCCUUUGAAUAUCGAUUUUUGAGUGGUGAGCAGCUGAACCUGAGUUUGGAGCCAGUUCUCUGGUAAUAGGCCCACACAUUUAGGCACAGCACCGCUGUGGUGUGGGGUCUCUCAUGGACCUCGCAGAGCAGGCCCCUGAAGGAACUAGGUAAUUAAGGUGUCGAAGGCUGGGACAAGCCUGGCAGGAUGGCCAUGGAGGCACCUGCCGGCCCGCUCAGGAGGCUGGUCUGUGUCUUGGGUCAGCAGGGCAGGGCAAAGAGGGAGGACCAGUGAUCCACAGUCACGCUGUUUGUUAAAAUGUAGAUUCUCAGGACAUAGCCACUAAAGCCACUGAGUCAGGAUCUGGGAACAGGCAUUUCGAGAAGCAUCCCAGCUUAUUUUUAGGUGAGUACCAUUGAGAACCCAUGCCUGAAGCGUGUGCAGGGGAUUAAGCGGAGGAAUCUCAGUUCAGUUGUCCCCUCCAGGCAGGAAAAUGGUGAAAAUAGGCGGCAAGAAAGCCCAGGGUCAGGUUCCAGCCAAUCCAGAAAUAGGAUGCCCUAGGUGGUCAGGUUGGGAGGUAUGCCCCUGGGUCAGGCCUAACAUCCAGAGCCAGGAUGAAUCUUCAAGUAGUUUAGAGCUAAUUACCAAUGCUUCUGGCAUCACGACAAUCUUCAGUGCUACAAAUGGCCUUAGACACGUAUCGGAUUGUCCUGCCAGCUUUGAUGUGUGGAGAUGUGGGGUUGUGGGCAAGUAGACCCUGAUGCUGUCAGAGCACCCCUCGCCUGUGUCAGGGGUCACAUAGUCCAAGUGAUAGGCCUCAUCACAGAGAGGCUGCUGGGUUGAUGUCACACACCCUCUUCUCCUGCCUCUGCUUUCAAAAGUAUACAUUAUAUGGGCAUCUGGGUGGCUCAGUCUGUUAAGUGUCCGGCUUUUGAUUUCGACUCAGGUCAUGAUCUCAUGGUUUGUGAGUUCAAGCCCUGCAUCAGACUCCACAUGGAUAAUGUGGAGCCUGCUUGGGAUUCUCUCUCCUCUGUCCCCUCCCUCUCUUCUCUGCCCCUCCCCAACUUGUGGGCGUGUGCUCUCUCCCUCAAUAAAUAAACUUCAAAAAAUUCAUUAAAAAAAGAAUACAUUAUAGCAGCUUGGCAGGGAAGAGAUUUUCAGUACCACUCUACAAAUGGGGACAGAAGUACUGAAUGAUUAGACUUCACCAAGGUCAAGCAACAGGGAUUUGGGAGAAAUGGAAACCACAGUGGUUUCUACCUGUGACCGGGGGAGCCCUCAUGGUCAAUAGAAGUCAUGGCCUGGGCAGCAGACCCCCAUGUGGCCCAGCUGUUCCUUCUAUUAUUAUUUUAGUUCUGAGUGUUCUUCAGCUAAAAAAGCAAUACCAAUCAAACAAGUGCAAAAACUCUGAAAAGCGCCAUGAGGAAGAAAGCAGGGCAGGAACCGGGAGAGCUGAGUUCUGUUCCAGCUGUAAUCUUUGCUCAGUGCUUCCUGCUUCUCUCUGGACCCAUUUCCUCAUCUGCAGAAUAAGCUGCAGCCUCACUGCAGAUGUUAGCACGCGGGACUUCUAAGGUCAGGUGUCUUCUUGUCAAUUCCAGCCUCUCUCAUAGAAGGCCAACUUGGAAAACGCUUUAACUGAACGCUGUGUGGUGUGGUUCUUAGAUUUUGCAGCUUGACUCUCUCCCAUUUGGGAAACCCGUCUCGUGUUUACCAACACAGUGCAAUUAAAGAAUGAGGCUGCACUCACCGUUUACAGGCUUGUUUCCAUUUUUUCCAUUUGCGACACUAAAUCAGUUGCUGAGCCCUGAUCCCAUGAAAGGAUUAGCUAAUAGAUUCCUUCUCUUAAUUUCCCCUGAUUUUAGAGGUCUCCCAAGAGAAAGAAAAUGCAUAGUUUAUUGGGAUGGGGUUUUACUGCCGAAAUCUUUUACUUUUUAAUUGCAAGGAAAGAGAUACAAACAGACCUGGUUUACCCAAAAUAAUUUUGUGUUCCCAUUUGAGUUUGAUAUAGUAGUUAAAAAAAAUCUCCUACUUAAAAAUACUCUCUCGGGAUAAAUAUUUAUGUGUGUAUAUUUUCUUAAACCUUGAUCUUUUUCCAUUACGUAAAAUAGUUUUCAUUCCUGGUAUGCAAUUCUAUUAAACAACCUAUCAUCUCAAAACUAAGCAUGCUACUAAUUUCCCUGGGGAUUAGUUUUUAAUCUUCAUUUUAGCCAAUUGUUCUAUUUCUUAGAGAUAAUACGAUUUUAUUGCGUUUUAAGAUAUAUAUUUAAACAAAAGGCAAAUAUUAUACGUGGUAAGUGGGAAUGGGGUUGGGUUACUAUGAUAAAGGUUUGUUUGAAACCUACCUGAGGUACAGGACAGCUCUGGCUUCCAGACAGUUACAUUUAAAGUAUUCAAUUUCUGGGCACCUGGGUGGCUCAGUCUGUUAAGUGGCCAACUUUGGCUCAGGUCAUGAUCUCGCGUUUUGUGAGUUCGAGCCCCUUGUCAGGCUCUGUGCUGACAGCUCAGAGCCUGGAGCCUGCUUUGGAUUCUGUGUCUCCCUCUCUCUCUGCCUCUCCCCUACUCUCAUUCUGUCUCUCUCUCCCAAAAAUUAAUAAACAUUAAAAAAUAUAUAAAAUAAAGUAUUCCAUUUCUUCUCCUCUUCUUGGUUAAAGAAUAAUUUUUCUUUUCCCCAGAAAAGGAGGUUCCUAACAAAAUUACACGUGACCCACCCCAGUGCUGGGGAUAAAUAGGAAAGAGACAAGGACCCAUUUCCUUUGUGGUUGUGCUCCCAGAGAAGGUUGGGGAACUCCAGAUAUGGAGUGGAUUCUGUCAUCUGUGGCUUGUAAAUCCUCCAGAGUUGCUCCCAACUUCACAGCUGAGCCUCAGAAGUGGAGAAGAAUGAGGGCUGGUUCUUCCCUUCGCUUGUCCCGAUUUUUCUAGGGGGGUUUUCCAGGGGCUAAGGCAGGCCCUCUUCGCCUCCUCUCUAGGGCGGGAGUCCUCGAACCCUAAGCUGUAUCUGAACCACCCGAAUUAAUCAGAGUGCGUGGUACCUCACUGAUUUUUAGCCCCAUUGUAUGUUUCUGAUUCAACAGAAUUUUAGGGAUGAGAAACCAGAGUUUUAACCUGCAUGUCACCAAGAUGUACAUGCGUUAGUGAAGUUUAGUGAACAGAUAAGCAGGCAGUUAGUUAAUAUUUGAAGUAUCCUAGUCAGUAGUGCCUAAUUCUAGGAGUAGUUAGGGAGUUUCUAGAGACUCUCAUCUGAAGCUCGUGUGUGUGAAGGGGUGGGCUUACUAAACACGGUAAGCUAAACAUGGCUUCAGUUAUCCACAUCCCAUCAACACCAGAGGAUUUGUUCAUUAGCACAAUGCACAUCAGAAAUAUUUUUCAUGGGUGAAAUCAGUGGCACCCAAAGUACAUAGCAAGGCCAGAAAUAUGGCACAGGUAGCGCACCUUUGCAUGAACAGGAUGAAUUAAUUGUUCUAGGUUUAGGAAAACCCAUAACACCUGCUAGUUCAGACCAAGGGCUUUGCAAUCUGUCGCCCCUAGGGCUGAGGAGAAUGGGAGGCUGAGGUGCUGAUUGAUCUGUGCUGGUGGUUAACAUGCCCAAGACAGCUCAGCAGCAUUAUCAUCCAGACCAAAAGAAAUUUGGGAAUUACCUUUAAUUACUGUUGUGGUCCCAGUUUGCUGUGCGGUAAGCAUGCUUCUUAUAAAUAAGGAAAGUUGAGAUAUCAACAGUGUGGCGAAGGUCGGUAUGGAAGACAAACCUCAGCACGGAACCACUGAGGGUGGGGGCUGGUGAGGAGGGCUGAUGGUUGAGUGUGCACGAUGCAGCUGAGGUCUACUGCAGAGAAAGGGGGGACAUGAAGACUUCCUCAGGCAAGGAGGUCAGAAUGGAGAGAAAUAGGAAUAAGAAGGCAUUUUGUUUUUGUUGUUGUUUUUUUUUUAAAUUUUUUUUUUAACGUUUAUUUAUUUUUGGGACAGAGAGAGACAGAGCAUGAACGGGGGAGGGGCAGAGAGAGAGGGAGACACAGAAUCGGAAACAGGCUCCAGGCUCUGAGCCAUCAGCCCAGAGCCCGACGCGGGGCUCGAACUCACGGACCGCGAGAUCGUGACCUGAGCUGAAGUUGGACGUUCAACCGACUGAGCCACCCAGUUGCCCCAUAAGAAGGCAUUUUGAGUUAAUUGAAAAGAACUCCGAGAUAUUUCUUAUAAAUCGUUCUCAUGAGUGGAGAAAAGAUCAACUUGGAGCAACCGCUCUUAGAAUAGCGUUUCUGGUCAGGGUAUUUUAAAUGCUAAUUACUUGCUUGGAUGUAUAUUAAAUACGAGCAAGUAAAUACCAAUGGACACACUUAUAUCUCACUGAGAUGCAGGUUAAAAUCCCUUAGUUCCUGGUGCUCCAGCUGGAAGCCUCAUAAGAAAGACUAGAACAGUGAUUUUCAGGGGGAGGGGAAGGCCGGGCCAUGGGUUUGUAUCAGGACAUGUGCGUGUGUAUGAGUAUGUGUAAUUAACACAAACCACAUGCUUGGAGAAGUCUUCCAAUCUUGAACCUGCUUUGCUGUCUGCAGACGCUGUCACUGCUACAGGAAAUUCUCGAGGUUCCAUGACUUUAAAUUCCACCUAUUAAAAAAAAAAUGUUUAUUUAUUUAUUUUUGAGAAAGAGAGAGCGAGUGCAUGCACGCAGGGGCAGGGGGAAGGGCCGAGAGACAGUGAGACAGAAAAUCCCAAGCAGGCUCAGGCUGCCUCAGUCAGCACAGAGCCCGACACUCUGGAACACAGCCUGGAACUCACCAACUGUGAGAUCGUGACCUCACCCCUGAUCAGAAAUCAAGAGUCGGUUCCUUAAUGGACUAAGCCACCCAGGUGCCCCUAAAUUCCACCUAUUUUUACGUCCAUACCCCCGAUCCCCCAAAGUACCGCAGAAGCCCUCAGCAGAUUAUCCAUCAAGUCUCAUUGGUCAUAACUCUACAACAUAGCCACAGAAAUGGAACUAGCAUGAGUAGUUUAGUCUAAUAAAGAUCCACUCUGGUGGAAGUGGUAUUAGGUCUUCUUAGUUAUAGCUGCCAGAAGGUGGGUGGGGAAGUCAGCAAAGAAGAAGGAGAGAGUAGAGGAGGGGUCAAGGAUGGGUAUGGCUUGGGAAUGGGUUUGGUAGACAACCGUGUCUGUUACGGUCUAUUUUUAUGUUCUAUCUAUCAGUAAAGUUCAAGUGAGUCAUGGCCUCCUGGGAGAAUAGCAUAUCAGAAGCGUGAUACUUAUCAAAAGAACAGCUGGUAUGGAUAAACAAAAUGUGGCAUAUCCAUAUAAUGAAAACACUAUUUGGCAGUAAAAAUGAAUGGACUCUUGCUACAUGCACCAUCACAGAUGGAACUCAAAGGCAUGACAAGAAGCCUGACACAGGAUGACUGUACUGUAUGAUUUUGUUUAUAUGACAUUAUGGAAAAGGCAAAACCAUAGGGGUAGAAAACAGACCAGUGGCUGCCUACUAGGGGUAAAGGGAGGUGACUGGCUACAAAGGAGAAAGAAGGAACUUUUGGGGGGUGAUUAAAAUGUUCUAGAGAUUAAAGAGAAAACUACUGCUGGGUCUUGGGGGAUGGUGGGAAAAGGGACAACAUUUAUUGCAGGAAAAUUCAUUUUGAGCAGAGGAUACAGUUCUGUUAUCUUGAGAAACAGGGCCACCUGUCCACCUGCUUUGGUUUGGACAAAUGGCACAAAUUUCAUUUCUAUGUUCUUUAGAAUGUCAAUGAGGAGUUGGCCAACACAAGAUUCUGAAGAGGGCUGAGGAUACCCUUUGAGCUGAGCUCUGGUUCUUGAACACCUGCAAAAGGCCUUUGGAUUAAAAUAAGGUUCUCCUUAAGAAGAAGGCUUUGCUAUGUUUUACAGAGGUUGCUAUGUGUUCAAUUUCAAUGUUCUUGCUUUUGGGGGCUACCUGUGGUCUUAGGUGACUGGGACUUUUGAUAGAGUUUGUAACUGACAGAUUUUGCCUCAAUAAAGGAGCCUUCUUAUUGAAGUACCUGCCUUACCAUUUACCAUUUACCUAAACAAACAUGCCUGUAACUGAAUUUGAUAAGCUGGGAAUCCCAGCACCCAGCAGCAGAGGAUUGGGGGGAGGGUGAAGAAUAGAUAUUUUUGGUUGAGGGGACCUGUCCAAGAUUUCAAGUCCUAUCACAUGAGCAGCUGCCUAUUCUGUGACAAUUCUGACCACAACCUCUGGAUGGUAGUGUCUGAAAUAAUGUCCAUGAGGUGAUCUGAUGAGGACGCUUGGUCCAAACAAUUGGUGUGAACAGAAUCCCAUGGUUAUUUUGGGAGCUGUCGUAGGUUUUAAAAAACUUGUCGUUGAUGUAAAUUUUCUCCCAUGUGUAUUGGUUAUAUAUAUACACCUCCCUGCAUCCCUAUUAUUAAGCAUGGGGCCUUUGUAAAUACACAUUCCAUUCUGACCAAACACUACUUCUGAGUUUCAGACAUCACCAUUCCAGCAUCGUGACAUAAACACAUCCAUCCCCAGACACACAAUUUUUAAAAUUGCGGAUUAAGUGCUAAACUAUCAUCAUGAAUUGCAUGGCCUUUUCCUGAGAAAGAGAUUAUGCAAUUAGUAAUAAGAAAAAUGCUGAGCAUUCUAUGGAAGAAGCAUCCCACAGGCUGUGGGUCAGUCACAAACUGUCAGAGGAGGUAACUGAGAAUACAUGACCACUGGUCGACCCUCGAGCUGGAUCUGGGCAACUGGAGGCCUCUCAUUCCUCCAGUAUGUUUGGAAUGUAUGUUUUGCCCACUGUUCCUGCAGUAGGAGCCAUUUAAAGGAUGAAGCUUUGUGAGAGUAACGCGUGGUUGAGACCAUCUGAACUGGAUAUGUGGACUGGACCCUGUUGAGGCCUCUGCAUGAACUUUAAGAUUCUGGCAGGUGGGUGUGGAGAUCUACUCAUCUUGUGGCUGGCUGCUCAAGACAAGCCUUGUAUGUGAGUUCCCUUGCUUAUUAAAAUUGUCACCUACAAAUCUAGAAUGUCUGUCUCUUUUCUGAGUCGCCUUGCCCUCCAUUUAUAGAGGACAAUUUGCAAACCAAUGCAAAUUUUUGUUCAAAAGCAGAUUCCCUGGUCCCCUCACUAGAAAUUUCAACUGAGGUCUGAGGUGGGGUUCAAGAAUCUUUAUUGCUGUCUCUUCAGCAAGUGGUGCUGGGAAAACUGGACAGCGACAUGCAGAAGAAUGAACCUGGACCACUUUCUUACACCAUACACAAAAAUAAACUCAAAAUGGAUGACAGACCUAAAUGUAAGACAGGAAGCCAUCAAAAUCCUUGAGAAGAAAGCAGGCAAAAACCUCUUUGACCUUGGCCGCAGCAACUUCUUACUCAACACGUCUCUGGAGGCAAGGGAAACAAAAGCAAAAAUGAACUAUUGGGACCUCAUCAAAAUAAAAAGCUUAUGCAUAGUGAAGGAAACAGUCAACAAAACUAAAAGGCAACCGACGGAAUGGGAGAAGAUAUUUGCAAACAACAUAUCAGAUAAAGGGUCAGUAUCCAAAAUCUAUUAAGAACUUAUCAAACUCAACACCCAAAAAACAAAUAAUCCAGUGAAGAAAUGAGCAAAAGACAUGAAUAGACACUUCUCCAAAGAAGACCUCCGGAUGGCCAACCGACACAUGAAAAGAUGUUCAACAUCACUCAUCAUCAGGGAAAUACAAAUCAAAACCACAAUGAGAGGGGCACCUGGGUGGCUCAGUCGGUUGAGCUCCCGACUUCGUCCCAGGUCACGAUCUCACCGUCUGUGAGUUCGAGCCCCGCGUCGGGCUCCGUGCUGACAGCUCAGAGCCUGGACCCUGCUUCGGAUUCUGUGUCUCCCUCUCUCUCUCUGACCCUCCCCCACUCAUGCUCUGUCUCUCUCUGUCUCAAAAAUAAAAUAAAAACAUUAAAAAAAAAAAAACCACAAUGAGAUACCACCUUAUACCUGUCAGAAUAACUAACAUUAACAACUCAGGCAACAACAGAGAAAGGAUCUCUUUUGCACUGCUGGUGGGAAUGCAAACUGGUACAGCCACUCUGGAAAACAGUAUGUAGGUUCCUCAAAAAAUUAAAAAUAGAACUACUCUCCGACCCAGCAAUUGCACUACUAUGUAUUUAUCCAAGGGAUACAGGUACGCUGUUUCAAAGGGACACAUGCACCCCCAUGUUUAUAGCAGCACUAUCAACAAUAGCCAAAGUAUGGAAAGAGCCCAAAUGUCCAUCGAUGGAUGAAUGGAUAAAGAAGAUGUGGUAUAUAUGUACAAUGGAGUAUUACUCGGCAAUCAAAAAGAAUGAAAUCUUGCCAUUUGCAACUACGUGGAUGGAACUGGAGGGUAUUAUGCUAAGUGAAAUUAGUCAGAGAAAGACAAAAAUCAUAUGACUUCACUCAUAUGAGGACUUUAAGAGACAAAACAGAUGAACAUAAGGGAAGGGAAACAAAAAUAAUAUAAAAACAGGGAGGGGGACAAAACAGAAGAGACUCAUAAAUAUGGAGAACAAACUGAGGGUUACUGGAGGGGUUGUGGGAGGGGGGAUGGGCUAAAUGGGUAAGGGGCANUGUUGGUGGGAAUGCAAGCUGGUGCAGCCACUCUGGAAAACAGUAUGGAGGUUCCUCAAAAAAUUAAAAAUAGAACUACCCUACGACCCAGCAAUUGCACUACUAGGCAUUUAUCCAAGGGAUACAGGUGUGCUGUUUCAAAGGGACACGUGAACCCCCAUGUUUAUAGCAGCACUAUCAACAAUAGCCAAAGUAUGGAAAGAGCCCAAAUGUCCAUCGAUGGAUGAAUGGAUAAAGAAGAUGUGGUACAUAUAUACAAUGGAGUAUUACUCGACAAUCAAAAAGAAUGAAAUCAUUUACAACUACGUGGAUGGAACUGGAGGGUAUUAUGCUAAGCAAAAUUAGUCAGUCAGAGAAAGACAAAUACCAUAUGACUUCACUCAUAUGAGGACUUUAAGAUACAAAACAGAUGAACACAGGGAAGGAAAGCAAAAAUAAUAUAAAAACAGGGAGGGGGACAAAGAGACUCUUAAAUAUGGAGAACAAACAGAGGGUUACUGGAGGGGUUGUGGGAGGAGGGAUGGGCUAAAUGGGUAAGGGGCAUUAAGGAAUCUACUCCUGAAAUCAUUGUUACACUAUAUGCUAACUUGGAUGUAAAUUAAAAAAAAAAUAAACAAAAAUUAAAAAAAAAGAAUCUUUAUUGCUAAGUUUCAUAAAUGCCUCAGGCAAUAUGGAUACUGUGGCCUUCAAGCCACCCCUUGAGAAAGACCCUUUUAAAAAUAGCCAGGAAAUUAAUUUUCUGUCAAGAUUGAACAGGAGGCAAAAUUUAUCCAGAAUCUUUUUUCCUUUUAUUGUCAAAGUGCAAAGUAAAUAGCCCUUAAUUCUCAGGAAAAGAAAAGACUACAUUAAAAGUGAGGAAGAGAAAAUGUGGGGGUCUGAGGAAAAGCAUCACGAGCUGUCAACUGUCACAAAGUCACAGUCCUAGGAAGUAGGCCACAGGGUGCCAAGUCUCAUCUCCUUUGCAAAUCGACUGCCACGCACACACGCACCAAAUGCACUGACACUAACCAACCAUAUUUUCCCAUCGUCACCUGCCAGUGUAGUCAUCACAACUAAAUUGCCAGCUUGUUUUUGUUCUGUUCACUUUGUCACCCAGUUUGAGAGCUACACCACGAUCAAUUCUAUUGCAUACUUCCCUGCAACUCCUCACUGGGUAAUGAGGUCAUCAAAAGAUUUAGGAGUUUACCUAUAAAUGUAUUUUAUUUUAUACUUUAGAGGAGUUUGGGGGAAAGAUUCUUGUACACAGCAUGGCCUUCAUAAGUGAUUGCUGAGCGAAUGAAUGAAAUGUUGGGCCGAAUCCCAUUAUUGUAUAUAUUCACAAAAUAGUAGAUCAAAUCAUAUUUUCAGUACAGCUAACAGUGAGCUGAGUCUUAAAACCCACAGUGAACGCUUUUGAAAGUGCAGAUGAUUUUCUGUUGUUAUUUUAUUGUGUUUGUUUUUUGUUAAGGAGAACAAUUAUAUCUUGAUACGUUUUGGAAAUUUUUAUUUUUAAAUCAUUUUAAAUUACACAAAAGUUGCCAAAAAUAGUUCAAAGAACUGCCUUAUAUUCUUCAAGUUGUUAACACUUCUGAAUCAUCUGAGAGUAAGCUGCAGAUAUGAAGCCUCCUUACCCUGUCAUACAUCGGUGUGUAGUUUCUACAAGCAAAGACAUUCCUAAAUAACCACAGCACAAUCUCACAUCAGGAGAAUGACACUGAUCCAAUGCAAUCUAAUAAAAUCCACUGAAAUUUCACCAAUUAUGCCAUUACUGUCAUUUAUAGGCCUUGGAGCCUAUUAAAGAUCACCUCUUGCAUUUAGUUGUCUUGUCUCUCUAGUGACUUUUAAUCUGCAACAAUUUUUACUUUCAUAGCCUUGCCAUUUUUGAAGGAUACAUGCCAGUUACUUGAAUUUCUCUCAAUUUGCAUUUGUCUGAUGUUUCCUCAUGACUUUUAUAUUUAUGCAAAAGAAGUACUACUGUGUUCUUUUCACUGUAUUCUAUCAGGAGGCAACAUGAGGUUGGUUUUUUCCAUUACUGGUUUUUAUUUAUGUAAACUUUUGCCAGUUGAUUAAGAUGGUAUCUCCCAAAUAUUACAGUUGUAAUGUAAUGUUAAUUAGUAAGCGUGCUGUCCUUGUUAAUUAAUAAUUAAUGGUAUGUUGAUGAGAAUUAAUGACUAUUUUUAGGGAUAUACUUUGAGACACUGUAAGUAUCUCAUUCCUCAUCAAACUUUUACUCACGAAUUUUAGCAUCCAUUGAUGAUUCUGGCUUGAAUCAAUCAAAAUGAUGGUUGUAACAUCGUGAUUUUCUACAUUCUAUCUUUCUUUCUCCUUCUAUUAGUUGUAUUCUACUAGUAGAACUUUCCUUUCUCCUUUAUUUCUUUCUAUCAGCAUGGACUCAUCUCUAUUUUACUCAAAGGUUACAACUUGUUGCUGUCAUUAUUUAUUUUGAUGCUUAAAUUGUCCUAGAUUUGGCUGAUAGAGACCCCUUUAGAUCCUAUAUUCUUUGAACGUAUCUCCAUAAUUCUUUAAGUACCUUUUCAUUUUCCUUGCACAACAAAUUAUUCUGGUUUUACCCACUACACCAUGGAACCAUAGUUCUCUUUGGUGGAGAAUGGUAUUUAAAAACCAAAGUCUGAGUAUUAGGUGUGUUCAUGGCUACUGGGGUACUAUUGCAUUUAGACUCUCUCAGUGAAUGGAACUAGGAAACAUACCAACAUAUAUAUGCACAUAUUCAUAUAUUUUUCUAUCUUUUCAUCUGUGUAAAGUAGAAUUCAUUUCAUACCAUCUUCUUUAAUUUCAAGCCACAUCACUGGGUUUAUUCUAAUCUUUCCUCUUUUUAUAUCUGUAAUUCCCUUCUCCAACAGUGACAAAACUGCCUACCAAUAUCCUUAAUAUAUUUACUUGUUUGUUCAAUUCCUGGUAUGUAAACUAAUCUGUUGGCCAUGGUAGCAAAAAGUAUGGCCUGUCUCUAUGAAGUUAAUUAUUUUUAUCAUUACAUAUAUAUAUAUAUAAUAUUUAUAAUAUAAAUAUGUUAUAUUAAAAUUACAUAUAAGUUAUAUAUAUAAUAAAAAUAUGUAGUAUAUAUGUCUAUGUGUAUAAAAUAUAUACACAUACAUGUAUACAUAUGUAAUUAUUUUAUUGAAUUGCAAAUUCAAAUUUAUUGAAUAUAAGUAAAUAUGUAUAAAUUUUAUUGAAUUGUAAAUUAAAAUUUAUUGAAUAUAAGUAAAUACAUAUAAAAAUAUCUGAUUAUAUAUAAUAAUCAGCUUUACUGAUAUAUACCAUGAAGUUCAAGGUGUACUAUAUGAUGAUUUGAUACACAUGUAUAUUGCAAAAUGGUUACCACAGUAAGGUUAGUUAACACUUCAUCCCAUCACAAAAUUACCACUUUGUGUGUGUGUGUGUUUAGAUGACAAUUAAAAUUUACCCUAACAACUUUUGAGCAUAAUACAGUGCUGUUAACUAUAGUCAUCAUGCUAUACAUUAUUAGAUCCCUAAAACUCAUGCAUCUUAUAACUAGGUUUGUACCCUUUGAUCAACAUCUCCUCAUUUUUCCAAUCUCUUGGAAACUACCAUUCUAUAUUUCUAUGAAUUCAGCUUUUUUAGAUUUCACAGUGAGCUCAUACACUGUUCGUUUUUCUCUGAUUUAUCUCACUGAGCAUAGUGUCCUCAAGGUCCAUCCAUAUUGUUGCAGAUGGCAGGAUUUCCUUCUUUUUGUAUGGCUAAAUAAUGGCUCGUUCUGUGAAAAAUGCCGUUGGAAUUUUGACAAAAAUUUUGGUAAUAAUAGUAAGUGUGUGUAUUUGUGUGUGUGAGAUCCAUUCAGGUGUCAAUGGAUAAUCAGGUUGUUUCCAUGUCUUGGCUAUUGUAGAAAAUGUUGCAAUGAACAUGGGAGUGCAUAUAGCUUUUUGAGUUAGUGUUUUCACUUUUGGGGGGGGGAUAUAUGUCCAAAAGUGGAAUUGCUGGAUUAUUUGGUAGUUCUAUUUUUAAUUUUUUGAGGAAACUCCAUAGUGUUUUCCAUAGUGGCUGCACCAAUCUACAUUCCCAUCAGCAGUAUACAAGGGUUCCCUUUUCUCUACUUUCUCACUAAUACUUGUCUCUUGUCUCUUUGAAAAAUAGCCAUUGUAACAAGUGUGAAGUAAUAUCUCAUUGUGGUUUUAAUUUGCAUUUCCUUAAUGAUUAGUGAUAUUGAGCAUUCUUCACGUGCCUGUUGGUCAUCUGUAUGCCUUCUUCAGAAAAAAUGUCUAUUCAAGUCCCUCACCCAUUUUUUACCUGUUUUUGUUUUUCUAUUGAGUUGUAUGAAUUCUUAUACUUCUCAUCAGAUAUUAACUCCUUAUCAGAUAGAUGGCUUGAAAAUAUUUUCUCCCAUUCUAUAAGUUGCCUUUUCAAUUUGCUGACUGUUGCCUUUGCUGUGCAGAAGCUAUUUAGUUUGAUAUAGUCCCACUUGUUUAUUUUUACUUGUGUUGCUUGUGUUUUUGGAGUCAUAUCCAAAAAAUUGUUGCCAAGACCAAUGUCAAAGAGACUUUCCUCUGUUUUCGUCUAGUAGUUUUACAGUUUUGGGUCUUACGCUUAAGUCUUUAAUCCAUUUGGAGUUAAUUUUUGUGAGUUGUGUAAGAUAGGGGUCGAGUUUCAUUAUUUUGCAUGUGAAUAUCCAGUUCUCCUAACAUCAGUUAAUUCUUGGCUCCCUUGUCAAAUAUUCAUCCACUGUUUACAUGUGGAUUUAUUUCUGGGCACUCCAUCGGUCUAUGUGCCUGUUUUUAUGCUAAUACCAUACUGUUUCAAUUACUAUAGCUUUGUAAUAUAGUUUGAAAUUUGAAAUCAGGUAGUGUCAUGCCUUUAGCUUUGCUUUUCUUGCUUUAGACUGUUUUGGCUAUUUAGGGUCUUUUGUGGUACCAUAUACAUUUUAGGAUUCCCCCCCCCCCGUUUCUGUGAAAAAUGUCAUUGGAAUUUUGACACAGAUUAUGUUGAAUCUGUAAAUGGCUUUGGGCAGCACGGAUACUUUAACAGUAUUAAUUCUUCCAAUCUAUGAAUGUGGGAUAUCUUCCCAUUUAUUUGUGUCUUCUUCAAUUUCUUUCACCAAUGUCUUGUAAUUGUCAGUGUAUGGAUCUUUCACCUCCUUGGUUAAGUUUAUUCUUAAGUAUUUUGUUCUUAGGUAUUUUGUUAUAUUUGAAGACCUUUCUUCAGAUGCACCUGAAGCUCACUGCUUAUACUUCCAGAUGGUUGUUCCCUGAUGCCUGACCCUCAAGAAGCUGCUGGUCUCAGAAAUGCAGAGCUCCC
This 26902-nucleotide long non-coding RNA is filed under the name Lynx pardinus (Iberian lynx). Lineage: Eukaryota; Metazoa; Chordata; Mammalia; Carnivora; Felidae. The record is from RNAcentral.